RNAcentral lists this ribosomal RNA (441 nucleotides) under uncultured bacterium. Its description in RNAcentral is "partial 16S ribosomal RNA". It matches the Rfam family "Bacterial small subunit ribosomal RNA", at positions 338 to 795 of the family's 1533-position model. The record is from RNAcentral.
CCUACGGGUGGCAGCAGUGGGGAAUAUUGGGCAAUGGGCGCAAGCCUGACCCAGCAAUGCCGCGUGAAGGAAGAAGGCUUUCGGGUUGUAAACUUCUUUGACAGGGGAAGAGCAGAAGACGGUACCCUGAAAACAAGCCACGGCUAACUACGUGCCAGCAGCCGCGGUAAUACGUAGGUGGCGAGCGUUAUCCGGAAUGAGUGGGCGUAAAGGGUGCGUAGGCGGCCUGCUAAGUCUGGAGUGAAAGGUACCGGCUCAACCGGUACAGGCUCUGGAAACUGGCGGGCUAGAGAGCAGGAGAGGGAGGUGGAACUCCAUGUGUAGCGGUAAAAUGCGUAGAUAUAUGGAAGAACACCAGUGGCGAAGGCGGCCGCCUGGCCUGUUACUGACGCUGAGGCACGAAAGCGUGGGGAGCAAAUAGGAUUAGAUACCCGAGUAGUC